RNAcentral lists this ribosomal RNA (495 nucleotides) under uncultured bacterium. RNAcentral describes it as "bacterial SSU rRNA". It matches the Rfam family "Bacterial small subunit ribosomal RNA", at positions 997 to 1492 of the family's 1533-position model. The record is from RNAcentral.
AUUGCAGAGAUGGCUUAGUGCUCGAAAGAGAGCCGUAACACAGGGUGCUGCAUGGCUGUCGUCAUCUCGUGUCGUGAGAUGUUGGGUUAAGUCCCGCAACGAGCGCAACCCUUGUCAUUAGUUGCUACGAAAGGGCACUCUAAUGAGACUGCCGGUGACAAACCGGAGGAAGGUGGGGAUGACGUCAAGUCCUCAUGGCCCUUAUAGGUGGGGCUACACACGUCAUACAAUGGCCGGUACAAAGGGUCGCAAACCCGCGAGGGGGAGCUAAUCCAUCAAAGCCGGUCGUAGUCCGGAUCGCAGUCUGCAACUCGACUGCGUGAAGUCGGAAUCGCUAGUAAUCGUGGAUCAGCAUGUCACGGUGAAUACGUUCCCGGGUCUUGUACACACCGCCCGUCACACCAUGGGAGCGGGUCUCGCCAGAAGUAGUUAGCCUAACCGCAAGGAGGGCGAUUACCACGGCGGGGUUCGUGACUGGGGUGAAGUCGUCGUAAC